This 253-nucleotide ribosomal RNA is filed under the name uncultured bacterium. RNAcentral's name for it is "partial 16S ribosomal RNA". It matches the Rfam family "Bacterial small subunit ribosomal RNA", at positions 524 to 776 of the family's 1533-position model. The record is from RNAcentral.
UACGGAGGGGGCCAGCGUUGUUCGGAAUUAUUGGGCGUAAAGAGCUCGUAGGCGGCUUGUCACGUCGGGUGUAAAAGCCCGGGGCUUAACCCCGGGUCUGCAUUCGAUACGGGCUAGCUAGAGUGUGGUAGGGGAGAUCGGAAUUCCUGGUGUAGCGGUGAAAUGCGCAGAUAUCAGGAGGAACACCGGUGGCGAAGGCGGGUCUCUGGGCCGAUACUGACGCUGAGGAGCGAAAGCGUGGGGAGCGAACAGG